This 497-nucleotide ribosomal RNA is filed under the name uncultured bacterium. Its description in RNAcentral is "partial 16S ribosomal RNA". It matches the Rfam family "Bacterial small subunit ribosomal RNA", at positions 28 to 507 of the family's 1533-position model. The record is from RNAcentral.
GAUGAACGCUGGCGGCGUGCCUAAUACAUGCGAGUCGAGCGAACGGACGAGAAGCUUGCUUCUCUGAUGUUAGCGGCGGACGGGUGAGUAACACGUGGAUAACCUACCUAUAAGACUGGGAUAGCUUCGGGAAACCGGAGCUAAUACCGGAUGAUAUUUUGAACCGCAUGGUUCAAAAGUGAAAGACGGUCUUGCUGUCACUUAUAGAUGGAUCCGCGCUGCAUUAGCUAGUUGGUAAGGUAACGGCUUACCAAGGCAACGAUGCAUAGCCGACCUGAGAGGGUGAUCGGCCACACUGGAACUGAGACACGGUCCAGACUCCUACGGGAGGCAGCAGUAGGGAAUCUUCCGCAAUGGGCGAAAGCCUGACGGAGCAACGCCGCGUGAGUGAUGAAGGUCUUCGGAUCGUAAAACUCUGUUAUUAGGGAAGAACAUAUGUGUAAGUAACUGUGCACAUCUUGACGGUACCUAAUCAGAAAGCCACGGCUAACUACGUG